UUGAGCUUAGUGUUAUCUUUAUCCAAUGCGUGGAGCUUAGAUUGUAAGUCUUCAUUCUCUUUUGUCAAGUGUGUGAUUGUUGCUCUUAGUGAAUCCAUUUCUUCCUUGGAAGCAAAGACAGGUUCUGGAUCUAGCGGAGGAACCGAAACUUCAGCACUGUAGGGUAGCUUAAUCUCCUUCACCCUUUGUACCACCCAUUGGCGAUACGGUUCUUUUGCUCAAC
Molecule: long non-coding RNA, 223 nt
Filed under: Lathyrus oleraceus (garden pea)
Lineage: Eukaryota; Viridiplantae; Streptophyta; Magnoliopsida; Fabales; Fabaceae
Description: Pisum sativum (pea) long non-coding RNA (PSAT_LNC004635)
Source: RNAcentral